This is a non-coding RNA of Lolium perenne, 4919 nucleotides long. Lineage: Eukaryota; Viridiplantae; Streptophyta; Magnoliopsida; Poales; Poaceae. The record is from RefSeq and is a predicted model, not a curated record.
UCCCAGGGACAGAAACCCUAGCCCAUUUCCCCCAAUCCCCACGCGAGCUUGGUCCUGGCCAAUGGCGGCGCCGGACCCCAAUCACCUCGCACGCUUCGUCCUCCCCAAUCCCCCUCCUUCCGCUCCACCAAUCGCUCAUGCUCUCCUCCCUCUUCGCGUCGGCAGCUCCGUGCUCUCUCCUACCACUCCAUGGCACAGCGUCCCCGUCCUUGUUCGUUGGUAUGCGGGAGGCGGAGGGACGGAGGAGGCAGGCAGUGCUCGUCCCUUGGCAACCAGAGCUGGUUGCGGAUGGAGGUGCAGCGGUGGGGCGGAGACCAGGAGCAGGCCUCAAGAGCAGCGCAGCCCACGACCAUGCGCCGUGCCCUCGCCAAUAGGACUGGUUGCUCUCCGACGGGAGAGCACAUCACGCUGCUCACCCCACUCUGCUUCUUCCUCAUCUCCUUGCUCAACGGGAGGAAAACGAGCAGCCGCCAAACCCCUACCAGAGUGAGACGAGUGAGGGAGAUGGAAAAGGAAAAAAACAAAGGGUCAGGGAGAUGGAAGAGGAUGCAAGAAAGAACUCAGAUCUACUCCAACAAGAGAAGCAUGGCCACUGCACCUUGUGAGCUUGUGCAUCCAGUUCUUGUUCGGGUGAUUGGCUGCUGAUAGUGAGGGAGAUUGGAAGGGGAAGAAGAAUUGAGUAUGUUACAAGGCCUUCUAAUUUCCAGAAAUUCUAUCCGUUUGCAUUCCGUUAUUUCCCCACAGUGUUCUAGGUACAAGAAACGAUUAAGAAAGAUGUAGAAGAGGAUGCAGAGCAAGGGAGUGUAAGGCACACAUUUUUUGUACCUAAUGACACUGGCGCUUUCUUCUACCUGAUGACAGUGAUGCUUUUGAUAUUUGUAUUGAGCAGAGGUGAAGAGGUCCUUGCAUUUAAUAAAGAUUCAGGUUUCUUCUUGCCUCUCCUAGUGAUGUCAGAGACAACAGUUCCGUACAUAAAUUAAUUUGUGCAUGUCAGAUUCUUUUGUUUAUACCUACAUGAUUGGGUUUGAUGGUUUGCUCUUUGCGGUGACUCCAAGUACACAAAAGCUCUUGGCGGUGACUCCAAGCACACAAUUGGAAAAUUGCAGGACUGGACUGGCUCAAAUAUUUUGGACACUGAAUAUUUUCCACUACAGAAAAUUCAGACAGUUAAGAUGCUCAUAUUAUAGCUACAAGAGAUGUAAAACACAUUGGCCUUGACCUGGAGCUUACGUGGAUGUGUCAUUUAGGAUGCUUCGUUGCUCGUGGGAGUGUAAUACGCUUCAGAGUCUUGAUGAGGUAAUAACACGACUCUAAACUUGUGUAUGGAUGCAGCAUCAUGAGCUUACUGCUCGAGCACAGCCAUGGAUUGCGCCUUCAUCUGCGGCUCUGCGUUUGUGGCAUGGCUCAACGCCCACUCCUCCACUAAAGAUGCAGGUAAGCAAUGGUUACCUGUUAUUUUUUGCAGCUUUGUUUUUAGCUUUUAUUAUCUUUUAUUGAACAGUUACGUGUAUCAAGAUAGCCUCUCAUUGGAUAGUAAGGCAUGUCAGCCUAUUUGAGUUGACUAAGGAUGGCACACCUAAGCAUGUUUAUUAUGUACCUGUCUUUUUUCGUUCAUUCACAUGUUAUAACAUCUCACUUAAUGCAGUUUUGACAUCUGUUAAUAUUUUAUCUGCUAAUUCUUUUACGUAAACUCACUGGUUCGCCCAGGUGUUAUGGCUGAAUGUACUUCUUGUAUUGAAGAUGAUAAAUCUCUAUAUAUCAUGUAAGGUUAUCGAAUACUAAUCUUAUAAAACAAGGUUAUUUUGAGAGACACUGUUAUUUAAUGCAAACAACAAAGCUAACAAGGUGGUAACCCAUAAAUUAUGUGCUUAAAACAAGAUAAACGUAACUUAGAGUAUGGAGAGCAUUAUGCAUUGUCUAGGACGUAUAAAGGGAAGUGAAUGGUGUGUAUUUUAGUUUUUUUACACUGAAUAGAGAUUGGUACCCUAGGUUAAUUUUAUGGGGACUGGGGCUGGAUCCUGGAUAUAUGGAAGGAUCUGAGGCUGGGCAAAUUGCGCUGAUUAUUAGGCAGGCAUGUGAAUUUCCUGAACUUGAAUGCUUCAAUCCUACUGGCCAGCCAUAUAUGACAGUUUUGUUAGUAGUUUCUUAUUUCCAUGGCAUACAUUUGUUACUUCUUUCCUCUAAAAACAGUUGCUUCUUUAAGUCUUUGGUGUUCUUUGGUUAACUGAUAUUUUCCUUCAAAAAAUAGUUAUACUGAUGUUCUUUCCACGUUGGUUUAUCUACACCUCUAUGCUGUUCUUACGUAUGCAUUGUUCAUAAAAUAAAAUGGACAAUGGGAAAGCCUAGAAUUGAAGGAUUCCUCUAUUGAUAGCUGUGAUGAAUGUCUUAGUUUGUCUUAGAGGAAGUCAGACAAUAAUCUGAGAGGAUCACCAAUUGUUGUCCAUCCUGGAAAGUGUAAUCCUGUAAAUUUUGCAUUAUGGAAAAUGCUUAUACUUUGCCUGUGAACUUUGGCAUAAUUUUAAAUAUAUAAUGAGCAUAAUUAUUAUCCUUCUCGAUCGUUUGUUCAGCCGGUGAAGCAGAGCAGCUAUUACUCUAUACUGUAAAUUGGGCUAACCGCCUCAUUUCCUGUGAACUUUGGCAUAAUUUUAAAUAUAUAACGAGAAUAAUUAUUAACCUUUCCAAUCGUUUGUUCAGCCGGUGAAACAGAGCAGCUAUUACUCUAUACUGUAAAUGGGGCUAGCAGCCUCAGUUGUAAGGACAUCUCUGCAAGCCCUAUUUUACAACGCUGGAUCUAGGCUAGAAGCAAUCCAUACAAUUCAUUUGGACUGGUUUCACAAUCAGGCCAAUAGAAAGUCUACUUGGCUACUUGCAAAGGAGAAAAAUAAAGACCUUUCAAAGGAUGCCGUUGGGCUAGACAUAUAACUGUAUUGAGAGAAUUAACAUAUAACUGUACAAAGAGAAUUAUUUCCUAACUAUUGCCAUGGUGGCGACUUUUCAGCUCUAUUAUUUUCCUUCAUGUAUUAUUUUAAUUUAUUUUGUUUUGCUUUGACCAGUGGGAAGUACAACAAUGCAAUAUUGUGUACACGGAGAAAGAGCAUCCGUCCUUGAUGGCAAAGCACUCAUGGUAUGUGCUUUAUUUUUACUAUUGUUCUGUUAAUAAUAGAACUCUAGAUUUAUCUCAAUUUAAAAUUAUCCAGCCUAGCUAGGGCCUCAAGUAACAACCUUUAGAUAUAGGAUUUUCACUUUUUUGUUUAUUUGUUAGGAUUAACAGGUCUAUGUUUUUAUAGCAAUAGGAACAUGAUUAGUUAAGGAUAAAGAAUCCUAGGAAUUGUACAGGCUGAAUUUGUAUUGCAGGUUGGAUCUGAAAAAAUAGUUCCUUUAAGAGGGUGAUAAUGGUUUCUGCAUCCUUACUGUGCUUCAUGUCCUUCGUAUGAAAAAGAUACGGUCUCUGCCUUGCAUCAUCAUUUUUCUCAGAGUUUACGUAUUCGCUAUCCUUCAUUAAGGUGUUUUGAAUCAAUAGAAAUGGUGGACCCUAUGUCCUUUGUCCUCCUUGAUGCCAACCCCCAGUGGUGUAUUUUUUAUGUCUAAGAUUUCUAUAUGGUUAUUUUCUUGUUCAUAGGUAGGCUCACACGUCCCCUUUUUAUUUCUACUUUACCAUUGGGAUUAUCUACUCAUAGGUCCCCUCUUUAUUUCUACUUUACCCUUGCGAUUAUCUACAAGGACUAAGAAGUGAUGAUUUCUUGCCUUAUGACUAAUGAUAUGUAUCAAGGGUGCAGUUCAAGUGUCAGAAAGCUGAGGUACAAGGUUGAGCCGAGAGAAUUUGAUUCAAUUAUAUUUGCAGACGUUUGACUGUAGAUAUUUAGUUUUCUACCUCCUACAACAGUCAAUGAAGUGCAGAGAUGCUUUUGGGAAUUAGACUCAACUACUGCUAUAUCAUGUUAGGCUCUGUGUUGUCAGUUUGUCACUCUGUAUUGUUGCAAUCAAUGUCCUAAAUGGCACCCUAAGUCUUGCGCACCUUUAUGUUACAUCUGAUGGCUGUGAGCCGCUCACUUAGUAAUAAGCCAUGACCUCUAUGUGCUAAAUUUCUGCUUUCUUUUGGUGGUUUUGAUUUAGUUAUAUGAGCGCAUACAGAAAAUCUCAAUGGAUUGAUUUCCUGCUUCAGAAGAAAUUAACUGUUUGACUUAGUUAUAUGAGAGCAUACAGAAAAUCUCAAUGGAUUGCACUGCCUGCUUUUGUGAAUUUGAAGUUUGAAAGUUUGAAUUACUCAGACCACAAAUUCCAGGUAUCUUUUCUCCCCAGGAUCUUCUGAAAAUAAAAUUAAUGCAUGACUGUUCUCAAUAAAUUUUAAACUAUAAUCUAUUCAAAGAUUUUAUCUAUUUGCUUAGAAAAUUGGAAUGGCCCUUCUGGUUGCUCCUUGAUGAUGCAGGCCUGACUUUAUGAAGACAAUCGCGUCUGGAAGAAUAGUUGUCCUGGCUUGAAGACCCGCAAAAGGAUAGAUUGAUUGUACCAUUGUCAAUCAGGAGAUUUUGCCCGUGUCUGUCAUUCUUCAACAGUCAAAGUUUUCUGAUGCAUAAAUAAAUUUGGAUUGAGAAACUGGUAAUCCCAUGUAAACCUAUCAUGGGAUGAUUCAUGUAUAUAUUUAGAAAUUGCAUACUAGAGGAAGGCUGCAGGGGGGUGUAUUUUGGCACGACUUUCUUGCCAAUACGGCUAGGGUAAAUUCUACAGGGAGACAUAGGAGGAAAUGUGUGCUAGAAAAUUGUGUCAGAGAUAAAAACGUUCUCCAUCAAAUUGGAAACAUCAUAGUUAUUUUCUUUAACUCAGAAAUAAGAAUUUUGAGUUAACUGAUAUAAUUAACUGGGGCAUGUAGAUAAAAUAUGCCUUUUCCUACUCAUUAAAGAGGAACAUACCUUUUAGCAGAA